ACGACCUUACUUGAACAGGAUCUGUUCUAUAGGCUCGUACCUCUGUGUCCUUGAAUGCUAAGGAGACGGGAAUCAAAAUCUGGUGGAUGAAUCAAGACCGCGUGAUCAGAGCGUGAUUAAAAGUUGCACGAUCUGUUUAUCGUUGCCGCUGCGGAGGAUCGUUCUCGAUCGGCUGUUUGUUGGUCGAGAUGAUCACGCGGUUGUCUGACAGACU
This is a small nucleolar RNA of Malania oleifera, 214 nucleotides long. RefSeq annotates it as small nucleolar RNA U3. NCBI's taxonomy places the organism in Eukaryota, Viridiplantae, Streptophyta, Magnoliopsida, Santalales, Ximeniaceae. The transcript has a single exon. The record is from RefSeq and is a predicted model, not a curated record.